This 433-nucleotide ribosomal RNA is filed under the name uncultured bacterium. RNAcentral's name for it is "partial 16S ribosomal RNA". It matches the Rfam family "Bacterial small subunit ribosomal RNA", at positions 29 to 507 of the family's 1533-position model. The record is from RNAcentral.
AACGAACGCUGGCGGCAUGCCUAACACAUGCAAGUCGAACGAGACCUUCGGGUCUAGUGGCGCACGGGUGCGUAACGCGUGGGAACCUGCCCUUAGGUUCGGAAUAACUCCCCGAAAGGGGUGCUAAUGCCGGAUAAUGUCUUCGGACCAAAGAUUUAUCGCCUUUGGAUGGGCCCGCGUUGGAUUAGCUAGUUGGUAGGGUAAAAGCCUACCAAGGCGACGAUCCAUAGCUGGUCUGAGAGGAUGAUCGGCCACACUGGGACUGAGACACGGCCCAGACUCCUACGGGAGGCAGCAGUGGGGAAUAUUGGACAAUGGGCGAAAGCCUGAUCCAGCAAUGCCGCGUGAGUGAUGAAGGCCUUAGGGUUGUAAAGCUCUUUUACCCGGGAUGAUAAUGACAGUACCGGGAGAAUAAGCUCCGGCUAACUCCGUG